RNAcentral lists this unclassified non-coding RNA (24 nucleotides) under Mus musculus (house mouse). RNAcentral's name for it is "oocyte_clustered_small_RNA13885". Lineage: Eukaryota; Metazoa; Chordata; Mammalia; Rodentia; Muridae. The record is from RNAcentral.
UGGUCCCUGCAUGUAAUCCCAGCA